This 84-nucleotide transfer RNA is filed under the name Malassezia yamatoensis. RNAcentral describes it as "tRNA-Asp". It matches the Rfam family "tRNA". Rfam says of the family: Transfer RNA (tRNA) molecules are approximately 80 nucleotides in length. Their secondary structure includes four short double-helical elements and three loops (D, anti-codon, and T loops). Further hydrogen bonds mediate the characteristic L-shaped molecular structure. tRNAs have two regions of fundamental functional importance: the anti-codon, which is responsible for specific mRNA codon recognition, and the 3' end, to which the tRNAs corresponding amino acid is attached (by aminoacyl-tRNA synthetases). tRNAs cope with the degeneracy of the genetic code in two manners: having more than one tRNA (with a specific anti-codon) for a particular amino acid; and 'wobble' base-pairing, i.e. permitting non-standard base-pairing at the 3rd anti-codon position. The record is from RNAcentral. Lineage: Eukaryota; Fungi; Basidiomycota; Malasseziomycetes; Malasseziales; Malasseziaceae. RNAcentral also lists the same sequence under 1 other name.
UUCUGCGUAGUUUAGUGGCUAUGACGGGUCCUUGUCAUCUGACUUGGUUCGGACCAGACCCGGGUUCAAUUCCCGGCGCGGAAG